UACAGAGGGUGCGAGCGUUAAUCGGAAUUACUGGGCGUAAAGCGUGCGCAGGCGGUUUUGUAAGUCAGAUGUGAAAUCCCCGGGCUUAACCUGGGAACUGCGUUUGAAACUACAAGGCUAGAGUGUAGCAGAGGGGGGUGGAAUUCCACGUGUAGCAGUGAAAUGCGUAGAGAUGUGGAGGAACACCGAUGGCGAAGGCAGCCCCCUGGGUUAACACUGACGCUCAGGCACGAAAGCGUGGGGAGCAAACAGG
This 253-nucleotide ribosomal RNA is filed under the name uncultured bacterium. RNAcentral describes it as "partial 16S ribosomal RNA". It matches the Rfam family "Bacterial small subunit ribosomal RNA", at positions 524 to 776 of the family's 1533-position model. The record is from RNAcentral.